This 497-nucleotide ribosomal RNA is filed under the name uncultured bacterium. RNAcentral's name for it is "partial 16S ribosomal RNA". It matches the Rfam family "Bacterial small subunit ribosomal RNA", at positions 28 to 507 of the family's 1533-position model. The record is from RNAcentral.
GAUGAACGCUGGCGGCGUGCCUAACACAUGCAAGUCGAGCGGACGUACGUGAAGUUUGCUUCUCUGACGUUAGCGGCAGACGGGUGAGUAACACGUGGAUAACCUACUUAUAAGACUGAGAUAACUUCGGGACACCGGAGCUAAUACCGGAUAAUAUUUUGUACCGCGUGGUUCAGAAGUGAAUGACGGUCUUGCUGUCACUUAUAGAUGGAUCCGCGCUGCAUGAGUUAGUUGGUAAGGUAACGGCUUACUAAGGCAACGAUGCAUAGCCGACCUGAGAGGGAGGACGCGCACACGGGAACUGAGACAGGGCCCAGACUCCGACGGGAGGCAGCAGUAGAGAAUCUUCCGCAAGGGGGGAGAGCCUGACAGAGCAACGCCGCGUGAGUGAUGAAGGUCUUCGGAUCGGAGAACUCUGUUGUUCGUGAAGAACAAAUGUGUAAGUAACUGUGCAGAUCUUGACGGUACCGGAGCAGAAAGCCCCGGCUAACUACGUG